AGAGUUUGAUCCUGGCUCAGGACGAACGCUGGCGGCGUGCUUGAUACAUGCAAGUCGAGCGGGGUAUGUAUAGAUCUUCGGAUUUGUAUAUACCUAGCGGCGGACGGGUGAGUAACACGUGGGUAACCUGCCCAUCAAUGGGGGAUAACACUGGGAAACUGGUGCUAAUACCGCAUAUUGUCGAUAUAUCUGCGGGUGUAUCGAUGAAAGGCUUCGGUCGUUGAUGGAUGGGCUCGCGUCCCAUUAGUUAGUUGGUGAGGUAAUGGCUCACCAAGACGGCGAUGGGUAGCCGGUUUGAGAGGAUGGCCGGUCACACUGGGACUGAGACACGGCCCAGACUCCUACGGGAGGCAGCAGUACGGAAUUUUGCACAAUGGGCGAAAGCCUGAUGCAGCGACGCCGCGUGGGCGAUGAAGGCCUUUGGGUCGUAAAGCCCUGUCAGUGGGGACGAAUAAUGACGGUACCCGUUGAGGAAGCCCCGGCUAACUACGUGCCAGCAGCCGCGGUAACACGUAGGGGGCGAGCGUUGUCCGGAAUUACUGGGCGUAAAGAGCGCGUAGGCGGGCUGUCAAGUCAGAUGUGAAAUCCCCCGGCUCAACCGGGGAACUGCAUUUGAAACUGUCAGUCUUGAGUACAGAAGAGGAGAGUGGAAUUCCCGGUGGAGCGGUGAAAUGCGUAGAGAUCGGGAGGAACACCAGUGGCGAAGGCGGCUCUCUGGUCUGUAACUGACGCUGAGGCGCGAAAGCUAGGGGAGCAAACAGGAUUAGAUACCCUGGUAGUCCUAGCCGUAAACGAUGGGCACUAGGUGUGGGAGGUAUCGACCCCUUCCGUGCCGGAGUUAACGCAUUAAGUGCCCCGCCUGGGGAGUACGGUCGCAAGGCUGAAACUCAAAGGAAUUGACGGGGGCCCGCACAAGCGGUGGAGCAUGUGGUUUAAUUCGAGGCUACGCGAAGAACCUUACCUGGGCUUGACAUCCCCUGAUCGUCGAUGAAAGUCGAUUUUCCCUGCGGGGACAGGGAGACAGGUGCUGCAUGGUUGUCGUCAGCUCGUGUCGUGAGAUGUUGGGUUAAGUCCCGCAACGAGCGCAACCCUUGCUCUGUGUUGCCAGCAUUAAGUUGGGGACUCACAGGGGACUGCCGGAGAUAAUCCGGAGGAAGGCGGGGAUGACGUCUAAUCAUCAUGGCCUUUAUGUCCAGGGCUACACACGUGCUACAAUGGCCGGUACAAUGGGCAGCCACAUCGCGAGAUGGAGCGAAUCCUAAAAACCGGUCUCAGUUCGGAUUGCAGGCUGCAACUCGCCUGCAUGAAGCUGGAAUCGCUAGUAAUCGCGGAUCAGAACGCCGCGGUGAAUACGUUCCCGGGCCUUGUACACACCGCCCGUCACGUGAUGGAAGCUGGCAACACCCGAAGCCAGUGGCUCAACCCGCAAGGGAGAGAGCUGUCGAAGGUGGGGCUGGUAACUGGGACGAAGUCGUAACAAGGUAGCCGUAGCGGAAGCUGCGGCUG
Molecule: ribosomal RNA, 1506 nt
Filed under: Clostridia bacterium
Lineage: Bacteria; Bacillati; Bacillota; Clostridia
Description: bacterial SSU rRNA
Rfam family: Bacterial small subunit ribosomal RNA
Source: RNAcentral